AUUGAACGCUGGCGGCAUGCCUUACACAUGCAAGUCGAACGGUAACGGGCCUUCGGGUGCCGACGAGUGGCGAACGGGUGAGUAAUACAUCGGAACGUGCCCGAUCGUGGGGGAUAACGAGGCGAAAGCUUUGCUAAUACCGCAUACGAUCUACGGAUGAAAGCAGGGGACCGCAAGGCCUUGCGCGGACGGAGCGGCCGAUGGCAGAGUAGGUAGUUGGUGGGAUAAAAGCUUACCAAGCCGACGAUCUGUAGCUGGUCUGAGAGGAUGAUCAGCCACACUGGGACUGAGACACGGCCCAGACUCCUACGGGAGGUAGCAGUGGGGAAUUUUGGACAAUGGGCGCAAGCCUGAUCCAGCCAUGCCGCGUGCAGGAUGAAGGCCUUCGGGUUGUAAACUGCUUUUGUACGGAACGAAAAGCCUUCUUUUAAUACAGGAGGGUCAUGACGGUACCGUAAGAAUAAGCACCGGCUAACUACGUG
This 482-nucleotide ribosomal RNA is filed under the name uncultured bacterium. RNAcentral's name for it is "partial 16S ribosomal RNA". It matches the Rfam family "Bacterial small subunit ribosomal RNA", at positions 30 to 507 of the family's 1533-position model. The record is from RNAcentral.